This 80-nucleotide transfer RNA is filed under the name Felis catus (domestic cat). It matches the Rfam family "tRNA". From Rfam's summary of the family: Transfer RNA (tRNA) molecules are approximately 80 nucleotides in length. Their secondary structure includes four short double-helical elements and three loops (D, anti-codon, and T loops). Further hydrogen bonds mediate the characteristic L-shaped molecular structure. tRNAs have two regions of fundamental functional importance: the anti-codon, which is responsible for specific mRNA codon recognition, and the 3' end, to which the tRNAs corresponding amino acid is attached (by aminoacyl-tRNA synthetases). tRNAs cope with the degeneracy of the genetic code in two manners: having more than one tRNA (with a specific anti-codon) for a particular amino acid; and 'wobble' base-pairing, i.e. permitting non-standard base-pairing at the 3rd anti-codon position. The record is from Rfam by way of RNAcentral. Lineage: Eukaryota; Metazoa; Chordata; Mammalia; Carnivora; Felidae.
GCCUGGGUGGCUCAGUCAGUUGAGUGUCUGACUUCAGGUCAUGGUCUCACACUUCAUGGGUUCGAGCCCCAUGUCGGGCU